This 562-nucleotide long non-coding RNA is filed under the name Pan troglodytes (chimpanzee). RNAcentral's name for it is "long non-coding RNA NONPTRT011491". The record is from RNAcentral. Lineage: Eukaryota; Metazoa; Chordata; Mammalia; Primates; Hominidae.
GGACGACUGUCUUCCGCCUCAACUGUGGAGCCUCGCCGACCGUUAGUCCUCACAGCCACCUCAGGGGCAACCGACGCAGCGCCACCUCAUCGUGUCCGCCAUCUUGGGGCGACGGGCAGAAGUCCAGGACUAGGAGCCUCAGCCGGCGGACGCCAGGAAACAGGCUAAGGAGUUGGCUGAGACGAUGUGGUCUGACAAGCAAAAUUGACUUUCUUGUAGUACAGAUCUGCUGGAUUGCUUCAGCUUUCCUACGUCUGACUUUGAAAGUAUUUUAUUAGAAGAAUUCGUAGAAGUAGAAUCCGUUUGUCUUCAGUUAAACAAAAGAAGAACCUCAUUGCUUUCCAACUGGGCCCCGGCCAUUUUCCAGUUGAAACAUCAAAUAUUUUAUUUGUGUCUUUCACUGCCAAUUAAAGGACAACAGAAAUGGUACAGGUAAAUCAUCUUCUCUUUGGAGGUAUUUCCACAGAAGACUUUAAUUCAAGCAUUUCCUAGAGUAUGUACCAUAAAGUCUUAUCUGCAGAUUUAGACUUGAAUAUGCAUUACAUCAUUGGAAAAUAUUAUG